RNAcentral lists this ribosomal RNA (520 nucleotides) under Kumatoeides tarsalis. RNAcentral's name for it is "partial 12S ribosomal RNA". Lineage: Eukaryota; Metazoa; Arthropoda; Insecta; Coleoptera; Chrysomelidae. The record is from RNAcentral.
ACAUACUUUAGAGCCUAAUUCAUUUUAAUUAAUAAUUAAAAUUACAUUCAAAUCCAAAUUUAAAAUUUUAAUUCAAAAAUUCUUCCUAUAAAUAAAUUUAUUGUAAUCCAUCUCUACUUUUAAAAGCUGCACCUUGAUCUGAUUUUUAAUAAAAUUUUAUAUUAAAAUUAUAUAUUUCAAAAAAUAAUUUUCAACGACGAUAUACAAGCAAAAAUUAAAAGUAUUAUUAAUCGUGGGUUAUCAAUUACAGGACAGAUUCCCCUGAUUGGAAUAAAAAACCGCCAAAUUUUUUGAUUUUAAAGAUCAUAACUUAUAUUCAUCAAGUAUAGCAAUUUUCCACGUCUAGAAUAAAGGGGUAUCUAAUCCCAGUUUAUAAUCUAGAUUUCUUAACUUCAUAAUCAAAAAUUUAAAUUAAUUAAAAAAUAGGAUUUCACCCAAUAUUCAUUAAAGUAAAAUUUAAUUUUUUAUUAAUUAAGUAUUAUAACCGAAAAAAAAUAAUUGCAUUAUUUGUAUAACCGCA